Molecule: ribosomal RNA, 479 nt
Filed under: Parapurcellia amatola
Lineage: Eukaryota; Metazoa; Arthropoda; Arachnida; Opiliones; Pettalidae
Description: partial 16S large subunit ribosomal RNA
Source: RNAcentral
UUCUUUUUGGAUGGAUAAAAAGUAAUCCCUGCUCAAUGAUUAAUUUAAUAGCUGCGGAUUUUCUGUACUAAGGUAGCAUAAUCAAUUGUGGUGUUAAUUGCGGACUGGAAUGAAAGGGAAAAUUGUUAAUAACUUUAUUUUAUUUUUUUAUUGAAUUUUGAAUUAUAGUUAAAAUACUAUAAUAAAAUUUAGGGACGAGAAGACCCUAUAAAGCUUGAAUUUUAGGAUUAUUUGGAUGGUUUAGUAGAAUUUAAAUUGGGGCAAUUUUUUAAUUAAAUAUAAAAUUUAUAGAGGAUACAUAAUUAUUGAAAAGAUCCAUUAAUAAUGAAGGAGGAAAAAGUUACUUUAGGGAUAACAGCAUAAUUUUUACCAAAAAGAGCUUAUUUAUGGUAUUGGUUAUGACCUCGAUGUUGGAUUAAUUAAAUUUUAUGGAGCAGAGACUAUAUAAAAUAUGACUGUUCGUCAUUUUAAGGAUUACA